This 495-nucleotide ribosomal RNA is filed under the name uncultured bacterium. RNAcentral's name for it is "partial 16S ribosomal RNA". It matches the Rfam family "Bacterial small subunit ribosomal RNA", at positions 28 to 507 of the family's 1533-position model. The record is from RNAcentral.
GACGAACGCUGGCGGCGUGCCUAAUACAUGCAAGUAGAACGCUGAAGGAGGAGCUUGCUUCUCUGGAUGAGUUGCGAACGGGUGAGUAACGCGUAUGUAACCUGCCUGGUAGCGGGGGAUAACUAUUGGAAACGAUAGCUAAUACCGCAUAAUAGUAGAUGUUGCAUGACAUUUGCUUAAAAGGUGCAAUUGCAUCACUACCAGAUGGACCUGCGUUGUAUUAGCUAGUUGGUGGGGUAACGGCUCACCAAGGCGACGAUACAUAGCCGACCUGAGAGGGGGAUCGGCCACACUGGGACUGGGACACGGCCCAGACUCCUACGGGAGGCAGCAGUAGGGAAUCUUCGGCAAUGGACGGAAGUCUGACCGAGCAACGCCGCGUGAGUGAAGAAGGUUUUCGGAUCGUAAAGCUCUGUUGUAAGGGAAGAACGAGUGUGAGAGUGGAAAGUUCACACUGUGACGGUAUCUUACCAGAAAGGGACGGCUAACUACGUG